AUUGAACGCUAGCGGGAUGCUUUACACAUGCAAGUCGAACGGGGGGAGGACGGGUGAGCAAUAUAUCGGAACGUGCGAAGCAGCGGGAGAUAACUAAGCGAAAGCGUGGCUAAUAGCGCAUACUAUUGGGGCGGCCGAUAGCGGAUUAGCUAGUUGGUUGGGUAAAGGCUCACCAAGGCCACGAUCCGUAGCUGGUUUGAGAGGACGACCAGCCACACUGGGACGGAGACACGGCCCAGACUCCUACGGGAGGCAGCAGUGGGGAAUUUUGGACAAUGGGGGAAACCCUGAUCCAGCCAUCCCGCGUGUAUGAGAAGGCCUUCGGGUUGUAAAGUACUUUUGGCAGAGAAGCGGUAUCUACAGAAUAAGCACCGGCUAACUACGUGCCAGCAGCCGCGGUAAUUC
This 405-nucleotide ribosomal RNA is filed under the name uncultured bacterium. RNAcentral's name for it is "partial 16S ribosomal RNA". It matches the Rfam family "Bacterial small subunit ribosomal RNA", at positions 30 to 526 of the family's 1533-position model. The record is from RNAcentral.